This 466-nucleotide ribosomal RNA is filed under the name uncultured bacterium. Its description in RNAcentral is "partial 16S ribosomal RNA". It matches the Rfam family "Bacterial small subunit ribosomal RNA", at positions 28 to 505 of the family's 1533-position model. The record is from RNAcentral.
GACGAACGCUGGCGGCGUGCUUAACACAUGCAAGUCGAACGGAAAGGCCCUGCUUUUGUGGGGUGCUCGAGUGGCGAACGGGUGAGUAACACGUGAGUAACCUGCCCUUGACUUUGGGAUAACUUCAGGAAACUGGGGCUAAUACCGGAUAGGAGCUCCUGCUGCAUGGUGGGGGUUGGAAAGUUUCGGCGGUUGGGGAUGGACUCGCGGCUUAUCAGAUUGUUGGUGGGGUAGUGGCUUACCAAGGGUUUGACGGGUAGCCGGCUUGAGAGGGGGCACGGCCAAGUUGGGACUGGGAGGCAGCCGAGACGACUACGGGAGGAAGGGGGGGAGAAUAUUGCAGAAUGGGCGGGAGCGUGAUGAAGGACCGCGGCGUGCGGGAUGACGUCCUUCGGGGUGAAAACCGCUUUCGCCUGUGACGGAGGGUGAGUGGGGGUAAUGGGAAAAGAAGCACCGGCAAUCUGCG